UUUCCGUAGGUGAACCUGCGGAAGGAUCAUUGUCACACAUCCUAAUGGAUGCUUGUGCCAACAAGCAGACCCAGCGAACCAUUCUCCUAUCACUUGAGGGGCUGCAUCGCGAGGUGCAGCUGUCUACGGUCGGGCCCUUGCUUCAGGGCCGGAGUCCUUGCUGGGUUCACCGUUGCAGGUGAGCACCGGCCGUCCGACGGGGGCCGCUCUUGGGCCUCGCACACGGGAGAGUGCGGGGGCGGCGUUUCCCACUCCAGCUGUCCCUUCCGGGGCAGCUGCGCAACCAACCAAAACACUAUGCAAAAACCGACUGAAGACCGAUCCUUUGCGGGCGCCUUCGGGAGCCCUGCCUCGGAUCAAAAACAAACUAAAGACAACUCUCAACAACGGAUAUCUUGGCUCUC
Molecule: unclassified non-coding RNA, 404 nt
Filed under: plant metagenome
Description: partial contains small subunit ribosomal RNA, internal transcribed spacer 1, and 5.8S ribosomal RNA
Source: RNAcentral